RNAcentral lists this ribosomal RNA (464 nucleotides) under Vreelandella stevensii. RNAcentral's name for it is "partial 16S ribosomal RNA". It matches the Rfam family "Bacterial small subunit ribosomal RNA", at positions 338 to 794 of the family's 1533-position model. Lineage: Bacteria; Pseudomonadati; Pseudomonadota; Gammaproteobacteria; Oceanospirillales; Halomonadaceae. The record is from RNAcentral.
CCUACGGGCGGCAGCAGUGGGGAAUAUUGGACAAUGGGCGAAAGCCUGAUCCAGCCAUGCCGCGUGUGUGAAGAAGGCCUUCGGGUUGUAAAGCACUUUCAGUGGGGAAGAAAGCCUUGGGGCUAAUACCCUCGAGGAAGGACAUCACCCACAGAAGAAGCACCGGCUAACUCCGUGCCAGCAGCCGCGGUAAUACGGAGGGUGCGAGCGUUAAUCGGAAUUACUGGGCGUAAAGCGCGCGUAGGCGGUCUGAUAAGCCGGUUGUGAAAGCCCCGGGCUCAACCUGGGAACGGCAUCCGGAACGGUCAGGCUAGAGUGCAGGAGAGGAAGGUAGAAUUCCCGGUGUAGCGGUGAAAUGCGUAGAGAUCGGGAGGAAUACCAGUGGCGAAGGCGGCCUUCUGGACUGACACUGACGCUGAGGUGCGAAAGCGUGGGUAGCAAACAGGAUUAGAUACCCUAGUAGU